UUUGCAUUAUAUAGUUUUUUCCAUAUGUUUGCGAGGUUCCACUUGAAGUGCUUUUUGUGCCUUGGGACAGUGGGGAAACAGGGUGCGUUAGGGAUGGGGUCAGGGGCAUGGUGCAAACGGAGGAUAGGGGCACAGUGGACACAAUUUGAUUCAGUUCUGUUUUGUUUUUUAAGUGUUUCAUUAAAAUGCUUCGAGUGUUUCAGCUGUUUCUUACUUAAUGUUGCAAGUGUUUCAUCU
RNAcentral lists this long non-coding RNA (237 nucleotides) under Sorghum bicolor (sorghum). Its description in RNAcentral is "long non-coding RNA (SBIC_LNC011711)". Lineage: Eukaryota; Viridiplantae; Streptophyta; Magnoliopsida; Poales; Poaceae. The record is from RNAcentral.